UGGGAAGAUCUAAGAUUUCCUAAGACAGGC
RNAcentral lists this non-coding RNA (30 nucleotides) under Mus musculus (house mouse). The record is from RNAcentral. Lineage: Eukaryota; Metazoa; Chordata; Mammalia; Rodentia; Muridae.